CCUUCCUUCCCAGGAAGUCGCUACUGGAAAACUGUGACCAGAGAGAAGGCCUCACCUGCCCCUGCUGGCACCUCCAUCACGGGCUUCCAGCCUCCAGACCUGUGAGCAAUACUUUCUGUUUUUUGUGGUGAAUAGCCUCGUGUGAUGGAACAGAAGGAACAGAAGAGUUGAAGAGGAACAAGCAGCCAAAGGCCACCACCCCAGAGUGACGGAGCAG
Neogale vison (American mink) is the source of this 217-nucleotide long non-coding RNA. RefSeq lists it as uncharacterized. Lineage: Eukaryota; Metazoa; Chordata; Mammalia; Carnivora; Mustelidae. The record is from RefSeq and is a predicted model, not a curated record. The transcript has 2 exons.